UACUAAACUAGCAAAAAACUGCAUAAGCUUUAGAAUCUUAUAUAUCACCA
RNAcentral lists this transfer RNA (50 nucleotides) under Loxosceles caribbaea. RNAcentral's name for it is "tRNA-Leu". Lineage: Eukaryota; Metazoa; Arthropoda; Arachnida; Araneae; Sicariidae. The record is from RNAcentral.